RNAcentral lists this ribosomal RNA (1314 nucleotides) under Salmonella enterica subsp. enterica serovar Senftenberg. RNAcentral's name for it is "partial 23S ribosomal RNA". It matches the Rfam family "Bacterial large subunit ribosomal RNA", at positions 868 to 2165 of the family's 2925-position model. Lineage: Bacteria; Pseudomonadati; Pseudomonadota; Gammaproteobacteria; Enterobacterales; Enterobacteriaceae. The record is from RNAcentral.
AUUUAGGUAGCGCCUCGUGAAUUCAUCUCCGGGGGUAGAGCACUGUUUCGGCUAGGGGGCCAUCCCGGCUUACCAACCCGAUGCAAACUGCGAAUACCGGAGAAUGUUAUCACGGGAGACACACGGCGGGUGCUAACGUCCGUCGUGAAGAGGGAAACAACCCAGACCGCCAGCUAAGGUCCCAAAGUCAUGGUUAAGUGGGAAACGAUGUGGGAAGGCCCAGACAGCCAGGAUGUUGGCUUAGAAGCAGCCAUCAUUUAAAGAAAGCGUAAUAGCUCACUGGUCGAGUCGGCCUGCGCGGAAGAUGUAACGGGGCUAAACCAUGCACCGAAGCUGCGGCAGCGACACUGUGUGUUGUUGGGUAGGGGAGCGUUCUGUAAGCCUGUGAAGGUGGCCUGUGAGGGUUGCUGGAGGUAUCAGAAGUGCGAAUGCUGACAUAAGUAACGAUAAAGCGGGUGAAAAGCCCGCUCGCCGGAAGACCAAGGGUUCCUGUCCAACGUUAAUCGGGGCAGGGUGAGUCGACCCCUAAGGCGAGGCCGAAAGGCGUAGUCGAUGGGAAACGGGUUAAUAUUCCCGUACUUGGUGUUACUGCGAAGGGGGGACGGAGAAGGCUAUGUUGGCCGGGCGACGGUUGUCCCGGUUUAAGCGUGUAGGCUGGUUUUCCAGGCAAAUCCGGAAAAUCAAGGCUGAGGCGUGAUGACGAGGCACUACGGUGCUGAAGCAACAAAUGCCCUGCUUCCAGGAAAAGCCUCUAAGCAUCAGGUAACAUCAAAUCGUACCCCAAACCGACACAGGUGGUCAGGUAGAGAAUACCAAGGCGCUUGAGAGAACUCGGGUGAAGGAACUAGGCAAAAUGGUGCCGUAACUUCGGGAGAAGGCACGCUGACACGUAGGUGAAGUGAUUUACUCAUGGAGCUGAAGUCAGUCGAAGAUACCAGCUGGCUGCAACUGUUUAUUAAAAACACAGCACUGUGCAAACACGAAAGUGGACGUAUACGGUGUGACGCCUGCCCGGUGCCGGAAGGUUAAUUGAUGGGGUCAGCGCAAGCGAAGCUCCUGAUCGAAGCCCCGGUAAACGGCGGCCGUAACUAUAACGGUCCUAAGGUAGCGAAAUUCCUUGUCGGGUAAGUUCCGACCUGCACGAAUGGCGUAAUGAUGGCCAGGCUGUCUCCACCCGAGACUCAGUGAAAUUGAACUCGCUGUGAAGAUGCAGUGUACCCGCGGCAAGACGGAAAGACCCCGUGAACCUUUACUAUAGCUUGACACUGAACAUUGAGCCUUGAUGUGUAGGAUAGGUGGGAGGCUUUGAAGUGU